Molecule: ribosomal RNA, 383 nt
Filed under: uncultured eukaryote
Lineage: Eukaryota
Description: partial 18S ribosomal RNA
Rfam family: Eukaryotic small subunit ribosomal RNA
Source: RNAcentral
CAAUAGCGUAUAUUAAAGUUGUUGCAGUUAAAAAGCUCGUAGUUGGAUUUCUGGUGGGAGCGAUCGGUCUGGCGCUUAGCGCGAGUACUUGCAUCGUCUCCGGCCAUCCUUGGGGAGAGUCUGUCUGGCAUUAAGUUGUCGGGCAGAGGAUCCUCAUCGUUUACUGUGAAAAAAUUAGAGUGUUCAAAGCAGGCUUAUGCCGUUGAAUAUAUUAGCAUGGAAUAAUAAGAUAGGACUUUGGUACUAUUUUGUUGGUUUGCGCACCAAAGUAAUGAUUAAUAGGGACAGUUGGGGGUAUUCGUAUUCCGUUGUCAGAGGUGAAAUUCUUGGAUUGACGGAAGACGAACUACUGCGAAAGCAUUUACCAAGGAUGUUUUCAUUAA